UACGUAGGGGGCAAGCGUUGUCCGGAAUUAUUGGGCGUAAAGCGCGCGUAGGCGGUUACUCAAGUCGGAUGUGAAAGCCCUCGGCUUAACUGAGGAAGUGCACCCGAAACUGAGUAGCUAGAGUACUAAAGAGGGUCGCGGAAUUCCCGGUGUAGAGGUGAAAUUCGUAGAUAUCGGGAGGAACACCGGUGGCGAAGGCGGCAUCCUGGACCAACACUGACACUGAGGAGCGAAAGCGUGGGGAGCGAUCCGG
This 253-nucleotide ribosomal RNA is filed under the name uncultured bacterium. RNAcentral's name for it is "partial 16S ribosomal RNA". It matches the Rfam family "Bacterial small subunit ribosomal RNA", at positions 524 to 776 of the family's 1533-position model. The record is from RNAcentral.